GCUGUCGUGAUGCCUAAAAAGCAUUGCAUAGCAAGGGCCGGGCAAGACCGGUGCCAGCCGCCGCGGUAACACCGGCGGCUCGAGUGGUAACCGUUAUUAUUGGGUCUAAAGGGUCUGUAGCCGGCCGGAUAAGUCUCUUGGGAAAUCUGGCAGCUCAACUGUCAGGCUUUCAGGAGAUACUGUCUGGCUCGAGGCCGGGAGAGGUGAGAGGUACUUCAGGGGUAGGGGUGAAAUCUUGUAAUCCUUGAAGGACCACCAGUGGCGAAGGCGUCUCACCAGAACGGACCUGACGGCAAGGGACGAAAGCUAGGGGCACGAACCGGAUUAGAUACCCGGGUAGUCCUAGCCGUAAACGAUACUCGCUAGGUGUCGGCCACGGUGCGACCGUUGUCGGUGCCGUAGGGAAGCCGUGAAGCGA
This 418-nucleotide ribosomal RNA is filed under the name uncultured archaeon. RNAcentral describes it as "bacterial SSU rRNA". It matches the Rfam family "Archaeal small subunit ribosomal RNA", at positions 406 to 822 of the family's 1478-position model. The record is from RNAcentral.